RNAcentral lists this long non-coding RNA (851 nucleotides) under Homo sapiens (human). RNAcentral's name for it is "non-protein coding lnc-L1TD1-7:1". Lineage: Eukaryota; Metazoa; Chordata; Mammalia; Primates; Hominidae. The record is from RNAcentral.
UGUGGAUGUACCACAGUUUAUCCAUUUACCUACUAAAGAACAUUUUGGUUGCUUCCAAGUUUUGGCAAUUAGGAAUAAAGCCACUAUAAACAUGUGUGUGCACAGCCUGAAUUUGUAAGUUUAUUUCAGUUUUCCCUCAACACAACCACAAGAUUUGGUUCCACAAUACAAGCACAAGAUUUAAAAAAGAUUAAAAUAAAGAGUAGAAGAAAACAAACAAAUGAAAAAAGGACACAUCUUUUGGAUGUAGACAAAGAAGACCUAGUCUAUCCACUCACCGUAUAUCUCCACAUCCUGGGAAGAAUUUCCAAGGCCAGGCACUCUGGAUACCCUCCCCCCUCAUGGUUUAAACCUUCUUCUUCUCUAGAUAGACAUAGUUGAUGACAGAUGAGGUGUUUCAAUGGCUCCUCCUGCCUAAUGGCUUUACUGGGCAUGCCCCCAGCAUUACUCUCCCAGGAGAACAGAAGAAACGGUAAUGUCUUAAAGGGACUCCAUCAUUCAACUCCUCUCAACCCCAGAGCCAUGUGUUACUCUUUGGGGAACUUCAGGAUAGCUGUCUGAAAACAGUCCAGGGAGGCUAAAGUGGAGGAUCACUUGAACCCAGGAGUUCGAGAUCAGCUAGGGCAACAUAGUGAGACCUGAUCUCCACAAAAAGUAAAUUAGGCUGGGCUCAGUAGCUCACAUGUGUAAUCCCAACACUUUGGGAGACUGAGGUGAGAGGAUCGCUUGAGCCUGGAAGUCGAGGCUGCAGUAAGCGAUGAUCACACACUGCACUCCAGCCUGGGCAACAGAGUGAGACCCUGUUCCUCCUCUCCCACUCCCCCCAAAAAGAAAAGAAACAUACUCCAGUG